ACUCAAAUGAAUAGACGGGGGCCCGCACAAGCGGAGGAACAUGUGGUUUAAUUCGAUGAUACGCGAGGAACCUUACCUGGGCUUAAAUGUGCUAUGACCGCCGGAGAAAUUCGGCUUCCCGCAAGGGCAGAGUACAAGGUGCUGCAUGGUUGUCGUCAGCUCGUGCCGUGAGGUGUCGGGUUAAGUCCCAUAACGAGCGCAACCCUUAUUGUCAGUUGCUAACAGGUAAUGCUGAGGACUCUGGCGAGACUGCCACCGUAAGGUGUGAGGAAGGUGGGGAUGACGUCAAAUCAGCACGGCCCUUAUGUCCAGGGCUACACACGUGUUACAAUGGCCGAUACAAAGGGCAGCUACUCAGCGAUGAGAUGCUAAUCUCUAAAGUCGGUCUCAGUUCGGAUCGGAGUCUGCAACCCGACUCCGUGAAGCUGGAUUCGCUAGUAAUCGCGCAUCAGCCAUGGCGCGGUGAAUACGUUCCCGGGCCUUGUACACACCGCCCGU
Molecule: ribosomal RNA, 498 nt
Filed under: uncultured bacterium
Lineage: Bacteria
Description: partial 16S ribosomal RNA
Rfam family: Bacterial small subunit ribosomal RNA
Source: RNAcentral